GUCAGAACGUUCCAGAUGGCUGGGCUGCACCGGCUCCCUCGGAAGCUGGAAACUGCCGUGCCGAACAGAGAGGCUGCGUGAAGGGCCGGAAACGCAAGUCGCCGGCAUUUCUGUCUCCUUGUGGGCAUGACGAGGUGGUGCGGGCUGCUGCUUGUGCCAGGUGUCCUCACCCCUGCUUGAAGGGGUGAAGUGACUGUGCGUCAGAGACCCCGAAAACAGCCACCAUUUCCAAAGCUACGUUUCUAUGCAAUGGAGGAAAUUCACGUGAGCCUGACAGUGCGUCCGCUGUCCGCGACGGAUUUUCAGGCCCCUGUUGCAGAUGUGAAAAUGUGAUGCUUGUCCAAGAUCACCCAGCUAGGGAGUGAGGACCUGGGAGCAGCACUUCUGAAGCAACAGGAAAAGCCAAAGCCAUCUGGAGAGGGUACCUUGGUCACUUGAGCGGAGGGAAGAGAGAGGUCAGGCUCCCCGGCAGAGGGGGCAGGAGGCGGAAUGGAGCACAGAUGCCUCGUCAAACCCUCGCCCUCGGGAGUCGGCCGGAGCCUGGGGGACUCGCUCAUCCACGGCUGUGGGGGCCUUUGCGCGACUCCGGGGGCAGAGGGACCGGGGUGGUUCCUUGGGCACUCCUGUCGUGCCUGCCUCUAGGGCUGUGUCAGGAGGUCUGGCCUUAACUCUCAAGGAACAGGUACCCUUUGCAGUCUGUCCCCAGAGGGCAUGGUUGUGCCUGGGUGGGUGAACUGGACACGGGGGUCGGGAGAACAUGCUUGUCCUGGUGCCCGGGAACCCCAAGCAGAGGACCCGGCAUAGAGCUGGGCGGACGGCAGAACCGCACCCUGAGCGCCCACUGCCCGCGGGCGCCGAGGAGGCCGCUGGAGGACAGUGUUUCCUCACGGACGUAGGUGCACUUACCUAAUGUUUCUUGGAGAAGGAAAUUGAAGCUGAGAGGAUCUAGUGACCUGUGAGAGCUGCAGAACCCAGGCAGGGCUGGGACAUUUCCAGAAACAUCUUCCAGGAAAGGAAAUGAAUAUGAAUGCACCAAGACUGCUCUGGUUAUAAGUGACAGAAACCCGGAUGAGAGCGGCAGACAGAGCGGGUUCAUUGGUCUUGAAGCUGGAUGCAGGCACAGCUGGGUUCAGGGGUUCACAUGUUUCCUAGGGCCCCUCUCUCUGCUGAGUUCUUCAUUCUCCGCUGGGCCUCGGCGGCCAGGGAAGGUGAACCCCAUGGGCUUCCUACCCGUGUCCCACAGGGGUGCAAGCGUCGUGGGGAAAAACACCAUUUGCCAGUCUUCCACAAAACAAAAUUCAAAGAACUGAGUUUCGUUGUUGUGUGUUGGGCGAUGUGUCCGGCCCCAAACCAGUCCUUGGACGGGAGGCAUGGGGAUGUGUUAACUGGCCAGAUGCGUCACGGGCUAUUUCUGAAUCUGGGAGUGGGGGGUCCCCCACAUCAAUCAAUAGAUUUAGAAUAGGCGACUCCUCAAGGAAGCUUGGAGAACAGUUGUGUGAGGAGGAGACACGGAUGCGGGCCCAGCCACGUGACACACAGCUGUCACAGAAACAAACAGCGCGCAAAUCCUCGCACGGCUAGCUGUGAGCCCGGGUCGCACCACGUGAGCCCUACUCUCCAGCGCAUCUUCUUCAGCUCCGUGCAAGGUGGACGUUCUUUUUUUUUUUUUUUUUAAAGAUUUUAUUUAUUUA
Long non-coding RNA from Mustela erminea (ermine), 1691 nucleotides. RefSeq lists it as uncharacterized. The transcript is spliced from 3 exons. The record is from RefSeq and is a predicted model, not a curated record. NCBI's taxonomy places the organism in Eukaryota, Metazoa, Chordata, Mammalia, Carnivora, Mustelidae.